Molecule: ribosomal RNA, 360 nt
Filed under: Klebsiella pneumoniae
Lineage: Bacteria; Pseudomonadati; Pseudomonadota; Gammaproteobacteria; Enterobacterales; Enterobacteriaceae
Description: bacterial SSU rRNA
Rfam family: Bacterial small subunit ribosomal RNA
Source: RNAcentral
GGCGUAAAGCGCACGCAGGCGGUUUGUUAAGUCAGAUGUGAAAUCCCCGGGCUCAACCUGGGAACUGCAUCUGAUACUGGCAAGCUUGAGUCUCGUAGAGGGGGGUAGAAUUCCAGGUGUAGCGGUGAAAUGCGUAGAGAUCUGGAGGAAUACCGGUGGCGAAGGCGGCCCCCUGGACGAAGACUGACGCUCAGGUGCGAAAUCGUGGGGAGCAAACAGGAUUAGAUACCCUGGUAGUCCACGCCGUAAACGAUGUCGAUGUGGAGGUUGUGCCCUUGAGGCGUGGCUUCCGGAGCUAACGCGUUAAAUCGACCGCCUGGGGAGUACGGCCGCAAGGUUAAAACUCAAAUGAAUUGACGG